GGGGAACGUGGCCCUUCGGUUCGGAAUAACUCAGGGAAACUUGAGCUAAUACCGGAUACGCCCUUUUGGGGAAAGGUUUACUGCCGAAGGAUCGGCCCGCGUCUGAUUAGCUAGUUGGUGGGGUAACGGCCUACCAAGGCGACUAUCAGUAGCUGGUCUGAGAGGAUGAUCAGCCACACUGGGACUGAGACACGGCCCAGACUCCUACGGGAGGCAGCAGUGGGGAAUAUUGGACAAUGGGCGCAAGCCUGAUCCAGCCAUGCCGCGUGAGUGAUGAAGGCCUUAGGGUUGUAAAGCUCUUUUGUCCGGGACGAUUAUGACGGUACCGGAAGAAUAAGCCCCGGCUAACUUCGUGCCAGCAGCCGCGGUAAUACUAACGGGGCUAGCGUUGCUCGGAAUCACUGGGCGUAAAGGGCGCGUAGGCGGCUUUUUAAGUCGGGGGUGAAAGCCUGUGGCUCAGCCACAGAAUUGCCUUCGAUACUGGACAGCUUGAGACCGGAAGAGGACAGCGGAACUGCGAGUGUAGAGGUGAAAUUCGUAGAUGUUCGCAAGAACACCAGUGGCGAAGGCGUCUGUCUGGUCCGGUUCUGACGCUGAGGCGCGAAAGCGUGGGGAGCAGACAGGAUUAGAUACCCUGGCAGUCCACGCCGCUACACGAUCAAUGCCAGGCGUUGGUCUGCUUGCAGGUC
This 689-nucleotide ribosomal RNA is filed under the name Methylobacterium sp. RNAcentral describes it as "bacterial SSU rRNA". It matches the Rfam family "Bacterial small subunit ribosomal RNA", at positions 119 to 841 of the family's 1533-position model. Lineage: Bacteria; Pseudomonadati; Pseudomonadota; Alphaproteobacteria; Hyphomicrobiales; Methylobacteriaceae. The record is from RNAcentral.